Molecule: long non-coding RNA, 693 nt
Filed under: Homo sapiens (human)
Lineage: Eukaryota; Metazoa; Chordata; Mammalia; Primates; Hominidae
Description: long intergenic non-protein coding RNA 1409
Source: RNAcentral
CUCUGUUCACGGAAAGGGCCUGGGAGCUGCAACACCUCAACAGCAACAAGCACACCUGCUACCUAGAACUUGGUUUCUAAAAACCAUCCUCCUCUAAAAGGAAACAGAGCUCUUUGAAGAAACGCAGAAGGUAAGCAUGAGCAAAUUACUUUUUAGAGGUAACUUUGCUGAACUUGUGAAGAAUGGUGUGCAAGGUCCAGAGCGACUGCAGGAGAGGGAAGGUGGGAUUCCCACAGAGCAGGAGCACAGAUAAGCCAAGCAAGGCCCUGCUUGGAAGGCAGCAAUCAACAGAGAUGCACAGACCUGUGAGGGUGCCGGGACAGCCAUGCAACAAUGCAGCCCUUUUGCUUCCUGAGCUCACCAGUUCCCUCGCUCCACCUCUGAGAGGUGGUUUGGAGAAACACAGCCCUUCUCAAGAGGGCUGCAAGCUACUUAAGUCCUGAAAAUUUCCACAAGGCUGAGUCAAAUCUGCGUUUCAUCAUCUAUAAGAAAGGUACCUAUCGAGAACACCCUGCUGGCCAGUGUGUAAAUAUCUAAAGGAGGACUCAGAAAACACCGGGGAAGUCCAGCCUGCACGUGGUGGCUGGGCUUCAGUGAAGCAUGCAGCACAACAGGAGUUAGCAGCCAUGCACUGCCCAGGCUGGAAGUAUGCUCAACCACAAGGGUCAGGGCUGGGAGAGGCGCUUCGGUAGC